Long non-coding RNA from Delphinapterus leucas (beluga whale), 566 nucleotides. RefSeq lists it as uncharacterized. The record is from RefSeq and is a predicted model, not a curated record. NCBI's taxonomy places the organism in Eukaryota, Metazoa, Chordata, Mammalia, Artiodactyla, Monodontidae.
GUGGGAUCUUCCCGGACCACGGAUCGAACCCGUGUCCCUUGCACUGGCCGGCGGAUUCUCAACCACUGCACCACCAGAGAAGCCAGGUGCUAUUCUUUUUGGCUAAGGUUAUGUCAACGUAUAGAAGGAAUCUUGUAAGUAAUGAUCAUUGACCAGAAUAAAGGUGUUUAGCCUCUCCCAAGGUCUAAAAAUCACUCAAAAAAAAAAAAAAAGUUUAUUCGCAAGUACUGUUGGGACACUUUCUGUUUCUGAGAAUUUAGGCCAAAAAUUUGUACAACAUAGCCUCGUGGAGCAGAGAGAAGAACCCUUAAAGUCAUCUUUUCUGACUGUCCACUUCUAAGGAAACUGAGGCCCAGGGAAGAGACAGAUCAUGGUCCCACAGCUCAGCGUUUGGACCAGCUGACCCAUCAGGGAAGAAACUCAAUGUGAUAUUGCCCUCAGGGAACUUGCAUUCUGGAGGUGGACCCCAUUGUUCCCUGGGAUAUGACCAUCCGUAUCCUGAUCCCUCUUGAGCUUUUGUACCAUCCUCACUACCUUAGGAAAUAUUAAAAUUGAUCUUUGUUGCA